Molecule: ribosomal RNA, 572 nt
Filed under: uncultured bacterium
Lineage: Bacteria
Description: bacterial SSU rRNA
Rfam family: Bacterial small subunit ribosomal RNA
Source: RNAcentral
GAUGGUAAGAGAUGAGUAUGCGUCUGAUUAGCUAGUUGGUAGUGUAACGGACUACCAAGGCAACGAUCAGUAGGGGAUCUGAGAGGACUACCCCCCACACUGGUACUGAGACACGGACCAGACUCCUACGGGAGGCAGCAGUAAGGAAUAUUGGACAAUGCCCGCAAGGGUGAUCCAGCCAUGCCGCGUGCAGGAAGAAGGCCCUAUGGGUCGUAAACUGCUUUUGAACAAGAGAAAACCCCUUUACGUGUAAAGGGCUGAUAGUAUUGUUAGAAUAAGCAUCGGCUAACUUCGUGCCAGCAGCCGCGGUAAGACGAAGGAUGCAAGCGUUAUCCGGAUUCAUUGGGUUUAAAGGGUGCGUAGGCGGCCUAAUAAGUCAGUGGUGAAAUCUCCUCGCUUAACGAGGAAACUGCCAUUGAUACUGUUAGGCUUGAGUACAGUUGCUGUGGGCGGAAUAUGACAUGUAGUGGUGAAAUACAUAGAGAUGUCAUAGAACACCGAUUGCGAAGGCAGCUCACAAAACUGUAACUGACGCUGAGGCACGAAGGUGCGGGGAUCAAACAGGAUUAGAU